Rattus norvegicus (Norway rat) is the source of this 4455-nucleotide non-coding RNA. NCBI's taxonomy places the organism in Eukaryota, Metazoa, Chordata, Mammalia, Rodentia, Muridae. The record is from RefSeq and is a predicted model, not a curated record.
UUUCUGGUUGAUAACAAACUUUACAUUGCUUGGUAGCUAGGGCCUAUUUAUUUCCUAAACCCUCAGACCUGAAAUGGUAACCAUUAUUACCACAUAGUAGGUGCUUAGUAAAAAAAAUAUAGUAAUUGAAUUGGACAGGCAUAGCUUCCUAUGCCCAUCCUCCAGGUACUUAGAGGGUGGAGACAGAAGGAUCGGUAAUAUGGCCUAUAUGAGACUUUGUCUCAAGAGAAUCUAAGUGAAAAACGGGUGUCAUGAGGCUGGGGAUUCGGCUCAGCAGUGAUGUCUGCCCAGAAGGCAGGCUGUUUGCUGAGCUUUCCUUCAGUGAUUAAUCAUCUCCUUAACUCAGUGGUAGGCUGUGUUCUGGGGGCCCUCCAAUGAGCCAGGCUGCUGCAGUGGCCAAAGGGAUCAGCAAGACAGCAAACACCCAGAAGGUGGGGGGAGAGAUUUUAGUGGCUGGUGACAGCAGGAAGGUUUGACGGUGAAGGGACGGCCAAGUUCCUGCAGACAGGAGCUGGGGAAUCCCCUGACACCACUAGCAUAGAAAUAGGGACACCAACCCUACAACCCAUUCAGUCAACAACCCGAAGGGAACUUAGAGGUGGCUUUUUCCCUAAGCUCCCCAAACUGCGACCAAAGAGAAACAGCAGCUAUUCAUGGAUUCUAACUCCAUUUUGCGGCCAGCAAGGACCACACUCAGGCAUUCCAGACGUUAGUGUAACCCUAAGUGUCGGAAUCUGUGGUUUUGAAGGCAACACCUCGUCCUGCAGUCUCUGUUGGCAGCUGCGGGGGGCUUCUCAGAGGAACCGGUUUAAUGGAAGCUAAGUUAGAGGGGCUUCUGCAUGAGCAGGCAGUUUGAUGGAAGCUAAGACUCACUCUGUAGACCUUUGCCAGUCUCUGUCCUCCAAGUGCUGGGAUUGAAGGCAUGCUCCCUGGCUACCAGAGUUCAAAGUCUAAGUACGGUCUCUGCUUCAGCUUUCAAGCACUACGGUUCCAGACGUAUAUAACUAAUGAUUUCUUAGAGGUCCCACCCCACUCUCAACAUUGUUGCACUGGGGAUUAAAUUUCUGGCACAUAAACUGAUACAAACCAACGGCACCAGAGCAGAUCUAAGAGUCUUUCUCAGGAGCUCAGCGGUGGAAGCACUCGUCUCUCAGGGAAGUUUAGCUUCCAGGGAAACAGAAGAAUGACCUGACACAUCUGGAGGAAUGUCCGUAUCAGCCAGGAAGCAUAAAACGUCAUCUGUGGACUGUGAACAAGACUCUGUGGUCUGUGAACAAGAGACUAAAAUACUUCUUUUACCUGGCAAUUCAAAUGGAGGGCACAGAUGUAUUUUUAAGUAUCCAGCGCCCUCUGCUGUUGGCAGCUAGAAAUGCACAAAGAGAUCAAUUUCAUUAAAAACAUUAUUUGUGUGUGUAUGAAUGGGCGUGUGUGUGUGUGUGUGUGUGUGUGUGUGUGUGUGUGUGUGUGUGUGUGUGUGUUUCCACAGAAGAAGCUAUCAGAUCCCCUGGAGCUAGAAUUGUAGAUACUUGUGCCCAAGGGGUAGGGGGUUUGCUGGAAACUGAACUCUGUUCGUCAGGAAGAGCAGAAAGUGCUCUUAACUGCUGAUUCAGCUCCCUAGUUCCCUCAAUUUUAAUUUUUUGACAUCAGGUGGAACAAGGAAGUGGAAUUACAAAACCAAACUGUAAACACACAGGACUCUCAUAAUGAGAAUAAUAGAGUAGUAACCCGAGAGCCUCCAGGGGUGGGGGAGGAUGAGGUAAUACGGGCUCUGGAGAUUCGGAGAGAUGGGGCCUCGGUGGAGUCACAGAGCAGGCCUGUGGCAGUUCCACUUCCACAGGAUUUGAUAUUCCUGCUUUUUGGUGUUACUCUAGUGACCCUGGGAUUCUUAAUUUUCACAUCUCUGAUGACUAAUUUCACGCACUUUCUCAUGCGCUCUUGGCCAAUUGGAUGUUUUCUCUUUUAAGUGCCUAUUCAUUUAAGACAUUGGUCAAUUCUUGUUGGGAGGACUUGAUACACUCUAGACACCAAGAGGUCUGUUUCAUUUUCCCUGCCAGUUAAAGAUUUAAAAAGCAGGGAAAGGGCUGAAGAGACGGCUCAGCUGCAAAGAGCACUGACUGAGUUCAAUUCCCAGCACCCACAUGGUGGCUCACCGCCAUCUGUGAUGGGAUGUAACUCCCUCCUGAAGACAGGGCGUUUAUACUGUUAGGAGGCAGUUUCCUGAGUUCAGCCAUCUUAGAAACAGGUUCCACCGAGCUCACAGAAUCCAAGCUGAGUUCACGUUCUCAGGCCCCACAACUGGACUCCUGCCCUGCUCCCUGCUUCGUCAGAUGUUUCAUGUUUGUCUUUUAACCAGUAACGGAUGUCAAGAGGGAAGACACUGCUAUCUUAUUAUCUAAACCAAGACUCGCAAGUCCUAAUUGACUAGGUGCAAUUUGCCCAUUUCUUUCUUUCCUUAUCCUUCUGAAUUCCGGGUCUCCUGGGUCAGCUGACUGCAUGGUGUUUGGCCAUUCCUGCUUUGUUCCUUUAUCGCUCUAGAUUCCGGUCAGAGUCCCAGAGAGCACAUGACUCCAAAAGCUGACUCAAGGACCCUGAAAUCAAGUGACCUGGAUCAGGCCCAGUCUCCAAGGAUGACUUCCUUGCUUAACCCCUUGUGUCGAAAUAUGAUUGGUCAACGCAACCACCCGCCCCAUCCCCCUUGCUUCGUUCGAGUUCCCAUCCCAUAAAAAUGUUGUACAAUCUCCCUUUCAGGGACUUGGUUCUGAGCUCGAACUGGCCGCCUCUUUGUGGGUGCAGAAGAUAAAACUUUAAUUGUUAAGUUUCUGACGAGUUUUCUCGGCGCCUGUCCUGAACCCAACAGUACUAUAUAGAAUAAAUAAAUAUUUUUUUUUCUUUUUUUUUCGGAGCUGGGGACCGAACCCAGGGCCUUGCGCUUGCUAGGCAAGCUCUCUACCACUGAGCUAAAUCCCCAACCCCAAUAAAUAAAUAUUUUAAAAUGAAAGACAUUUACUGGGAGGGGAGGGGGAAGUAGACAUUUGCAUGCAAAAGACACAAAGGGAAAAGACUCUUUGCAAAGCGAAGGGGGAGCUGAAAAGAUCAGUCUUUUCUAGGGGCUUUUAAAACCUCUGUAGAGCCCCACCCCCAACUCCCCAAUUUAGGGUUUGCUGGUUUGGGGAAAACUACAUUGAUUUGCUCAGAACUAUGGUAUGGCAUGACUGACUCAGCCUUGAACUCCUUGAGGCUGUCCAACAGCGGGGAGCCGGCUAGUGGAGACAAAUGUAGCCCAGCUUUGUCUCCAGUCUCCAGGUUGAGGAAGUAGCUGGUCAUCUCGGAGAUUUCCAAGAUGGCCCUCUUCUCUAUCUGUCUGCCUACAGGGAAUCUGUUGAACUCCCAGUCUCUCAGGCUGUCCCUGUCUGCAAUAAUUGACUAGCUAGCCCACAUGGCUUCUCAGAUGUACACACCAUGAAGGGUUUCUCCUGAUGGUUGGCUUUUCUUUUACUCAAUCUGAGAUCUCGUUAGGCAGGUCAUCCUUUGUGAAUUCAAAGACGGCUUGGUCUGCAUGGCAAGAAUAUACAGUGAGACCAUGUUCCAAAAUUAUUUAAUCCUUAAUUGUUAAAAGUUCAACUUUGGGGCAGGAGAGAUGGUUCAGUGGGUAAGUGCACUCGCUGUUCCGUAGAGUGUAUGUGACGAGGUGUAGUGAAGAAGCUGCCCACGUGACUGCUCCAUUACUAGGGGUUUGUGGUGAUUACGGGAGAAAACAUCCUGAGGCAUCUGAAAGAGAAAAGAAAGCAGAUUAGACAUGGCCAGAGCUAAGAAAGGGAGAGCGCAGGAGGGAAGAGUGGCCAAAGCAAAAGAUAGGAUAGUGAGCGAGUGAGAGGAUAGCAAGGGUUGGGGUAAGAGAAUGUGGGACAGCAUAACGGGGGCUGGGGGGAGAACGGCAAGAGUGGGAACAGAAAUAGAGGAAUGAGAACAAAUCACACGGAUUACAUGAAGACGAGACACUGGGUGGAGGGAAAGGCAAGAUGUUCCUGUGGACUUUGAGCUGUAUCACAGGUACUGGAAAUACUGAGGGAGUGGAGACCAGCAUGGGCUUCGAUAGGCUGAUAGGUGCCACAGGUAGCUAGAGGUAAGAGAAGAGACUUCUUCCUGGCCGAUGGGAACAGGUUUCACAAGUUCCUGAGAAAUGCAGGUUUUAUCUAACAGCCAGAAAUCUCUGUAUAGUCCAGCUCAAGCUCACUUCUAGAUAUAUGGACUAGACAUUAUGGACCCCUAAGUUUGGUUCCAACACCUACAUCAAAAGGUUCACAAGCGUCCUUAACUCUAAUUAGUCCUAGUGGAUCUAGCGCCCUCUUCUGGUCUCUGUUAGCAUCUGCACACAUGUGGUACACAUACAAAUACUCUCAGUUACACACAUAGGAAUAAAUAAAUAAAUAAAUAAAUAAAUAAAUAAAUAAAUAA